UUUAACUGAAGAGUUUGAUCAUGGCUCAGAUUGAACGCUGGCGGCAGGCUUAACACAUGCAAGUCGAGCGGGGGAAGGUAGCUUGCUACUGGACCUAGCGGCGGACGGGUGAGUAAUGCUUAGGAAUCUGCCUAUUAGUGGGGGACAACAUCUCGAAAGGGAUGCUAAUACCGCA
RNAcentral lists this ribosomal RNA (175 nucleotides) under Acinetobacter baumannii. Its description in RNAcentral is "partial 16S ribosomal RNA". It matches the Rfam family "Bacterial small subunit ribosomal RNA", at positions 1 to 173 of the family's 1533-position model. Lineage: Bacteria; Pseudomonadati; Pseudomonadota; Gammaproteobacteria; Moraxellales; Moraxellaceae. The record is from RNAcentral.